UGGUCAUUACCAAAGCUUUUAGAAUGCAGUUUCUGAUUUGCUGUGGAGUUGGCCAUAAAAAAAGAAAAGACAUCCCACUAGGUUUUCUAUUUGCUACCUUGGUAGCAUUCGGCCUAUUGGGAACAUUC
This is a small nucleolar RNA of Choloepus didactylus (southern two-toed sloth), 128 nucleotides long. RefSeq annotates it as small nucleolar RNA SNORA32. The transcript has a single exon. Lineage: Eukaryota; Metazoa; Chordata; Mammalia; Pilosa; Megalonychidae. The record is from RefSeq and is a predicted model, not a curated record.